UGACCUUUCAGAUAAUGGUUAGUCUAGGUGGCUCUAACCCACCAUGUCUCGGUUCGAUUCCAGAGAAGGUCAGCCA
This 76-nucleotide transfer RNA is filed under the name Chlamydia trachomatis. RNAcentral describes it as "tRNA-Pyl(cta)". It matches the Rfam family "tRNA". Rfam says of the family: Transfer RNA (tRNA) molecules are approximately 80 nucleotides in length. The record is from RNAcentral. Lineage: Bacteria; Pseudomonadati; Chlamydiota; Chlamydiia; Chlamydiales; Chlamydiaceae.